UUCUUGGGUGACGAGUGGCGGACGGGUGAGUAAUGUCUGGGGAUCUGCCCGAUAGAGGGGGAUAACCACUGGAAACGGUGGCUAAUACCGCAUAACGUCGCAAGACCAAAGAGGGGGACCUUCGGGCCUCUCACUAUCGGAUGAACCCAGAUGGGAUUAGCUAGUAGGCGGGGUAAUGGCCCACCUAGGCGACGAUCCCUAGCUGGUCUGAGAGGAUGACCAGCCACACUGGAACUGAGACACGGUCCAGACUCCUACGGGAGGCAGCAGUGGGGAAUAUUGCACAAUGGGCGCAAGCCUGAUGCAGCCAUGCCGCGUGUAUGAAGAAGGCCUUCGGGUUGUAAAGUACUUUCAGCGGGGAGGAAGGCGAUGCGGUUAAUAACCGCGUCGAUUGACGUACCCGCAG
Molecule: ribosomal RNA, 406 nt
Filed under: Pantoea sp. ITSI8
Lineage: Bacteria; Pseudomonadati; Pseudomonadota; Gammaproteobacteria; Enterobacterales; Erwiniaceae
Description: bacterial SSU rRNA
Rfam family: Bacterial small subunit ribosomal RNA
Source: RNAcentral